Molecule: transfer RNA, 72 nt
Filed under: Marmota marmota marmota (Alpine marmot)
Lineage: Eukaryota; Metazoa; Chordata; Mammalia; Rodentia; Sciuridae
Also listed under: 1 other name
Rfam family: tRNA
About the family: Transfer RNA (tRNA) molecules are approximately 80 nucleotides in length.
Source: Rfam by way of RNAcentral
GGGGAUAUAACUCAGUGGUAGAGCACUUGCCUAGCAUGUGGGAAGCUUUGGGUUUAAUCCUCAGUAUCUUCA